CGGCAGAGCCGGGCACAGGGCACUGAUUCCCGUUGUCGUGCGCGGCUCGGGCAGGAGGGGACCCUGUGCCACUGCAGCAGCUGGGGAAUCCUGAAUGCCAGAUGUUAGUCCAUAUUCUAGAAGAGAUGUCUCAUUGUGGAGAAAGAAUCAAGAUGCUCCAUGCCAGUGAAGAUCCUCUCUAGUUGGCUGUGAUGUAUUGAGUGUUCCUCCACAGGACCAGGAUGAACACUACUCUCCCACGCUAUUUAAUAACAAGCCAUAUACACAGAGCCCAAAAUUCAUGUUUGCAUGGACUCCCCUGCCUUUGCCCCAGAGCAACAAGUUGACAUCACCUAUCUGACUUGGGUUGAAAUGAUGAGUAAAACCCAGGUCCUAAACCACCUUGCUCGCAGCAGACCUACUGCAAACAUUCCGAGUCUUCCCUGUCUUUAUGAAGGAACCCAUUGAUGAGGAUCUCAUCCAUGGAUGAGAAGCCACCGUGUCCAUGCAGUGACUUCCCCAUGAAGCAGGUGGCAGGCCAUGGUCUCUCUUUGCAACAGAACAGUUGGCAUUUUUCAUUUUGAUGAAUAACCAGGCCAAGCCCACGAACAUCUCACUCUACAAGUACAACCAGAGAAUGGAGUCCAGCCUCCAGGCACCUCUAUCCACAUGGUGUAGAUGCUUCUAUUUCAGGAUUUAAGGAGAAGAAUCCUUUCAAAUGUGUGUUUCAGCCUCUGAGCAUAAAGCUCAGUGAAAACUCAGUGCUGUUCCCCACGACAAGGACAGGCAGAAUUACCUGAAUGUGCUAGAAGCACGUACCCACCUCUCCCAAGGCAGAAAAUGCAACUUCCUACAGGUGAAAGGCAGGAAGUUAUAAUUAACAUCAAUCACCAUCAAACCUUAUCCACACCUUCCUGCACAGCAGGACAUCAGCCCAAGCUGGGAAGAGAGGCAGGAGGGGCUACAGCACUUCUCUGCUGUUUCCCAGAGCUCUGCACUGCAUGAGACACACGUGCUGAACACUGUGGGCCUAUGAGGAAGUUACAGCUCUCUAAGUGGGGAGCAGCACUGUUCCACAACUCUCCCAAAACUUGGACUCAUGCUGCCUCUACUCGUGACAGGAGCUGAACUCAGUGUGCAUGAGCUGCAGUGAUGAAUGUGAAUCUGCCAUGAUAGUCAGAGCUGCUCUGAGUGGUACCAAACAGGAGCUUCUCUGUUGCCUCCCAGAGACUGAUCAUCUCUCCAGCUGAAAGCCUAAGCUAAUUCAUUGAGAAAACACAGCGUCAUCCUGAACCCAUUUGUCCCACUACAGAUCUGUAGCAUGUGACAGCCCCAUUGACUCUAAGAGCUUCUCCUUGAAUGAAUCUGCUGUCUUAGCUGCAGUACAAAUUUGUCCUUUGCUUCUAGUGACAGGGAAAAUACUCACCAAAUUUUAAACCAGUGUUAGUCAUCCUGAAGACAGCUGAGAGGAAGAUUACUUAGUUGUAAUUGCCUGUUCUAGUCCAAUCCUUCCACAGGAUGGGGAAGAGCACAGGAGACAGCUGGACAUCAUUACUAAUAGAAAGCAAGAACAGAAAAGGACUUCAUAGGCAGCAUAUUCCCCCUGAAAGGCUCAGGCUGCCUUUCCUUGUUUGUUAGAUGUUGCCAGAAGUCGGAGUGUAAAAUACACCAAGGCAGAGGCCUUAUCUGCUAUGGGAAAAGUGGGAUCUAAAUACCAACAUGCAUUUCAAAGUUAACAAUACACAAGUGUAACUGUAAAGAGAGAGAAAGAAGCAGCUUGGAAGCAACAGAAGUGUCUGUAGAACUUGGACAGACAUGUUUACAUGUCACCUGAAGGACAUGUGCUGCAAGAAAAGCUUUGUAGACACCGACCAACUUGACUCGAAGAGCAAACGCUGUGAAAGAGCAGCAUAUCAGCAGCACCUUGCAUUUAGCAAACGAAAGCUUUCUGUCAAUUAUGAAAUAUUUUGGUAUCAAAAAUAUACUGCACUGUCAUUUCAGUCUUUCACCUUCCGUUUACGACUGCACCUUAAACGGGAUGUCGGGCACAGAAACCAUUCUCCCCACACGUACCCACGUGCACCCAACCGCCCGCUUCGCGCAGCUUCCCGACCACCAGAUUUCAGCAAGCACCGCAACCCCAUGGCAGAGUGAGCACAUUUGGCUGACAACAGCACUGCCUUCCAUGGAUGUCUGAUCCAUACCAGGUGGCCAUCUGGAGCCACUGACCACGUGGGGCCAUCUGUGGCAGCGGGAGCACCUUCCUGCUGGCCCGGGCAGCAGCUGCCACAGGCUUGGUAUGAACUCCGGCAGCAGAGUGGUGUCUGCUGGUACCUGGGCCAGAUAACCUUCUUCAAAGGUUGUAAAAGUGGGACAUCCAGAACAAAGAUCCUUCAAGGUUUGGCUACACUAAAGGCAGAAUCUCAAGGCCCUCUGAAGCAAGCCUUGAAAGCUAAUAGAAUUUAAAAUUUCAGAAAGAAGCUUAAUCAAAAGAUUACAUCAGAAUUUUAGAGCCCUCUCAGUGAGUUUUCAUCAUCUUUGCCUUAAUCCAGCCUUGAUGUAACACAGCAAAAAAUAAAAGCCACCAAAAGUCAUCUGCUGCAAUAUAUAUUUUAAUUCAAAGUGAAUCUUGACAGUAAUACACCAUAAAUUCUUAUUUUGACACUCACCAAAAUAGUCACCUGGAAAACCCGCUUUUUGUGACAAAGUACAGAAGGCUUGGUCACAUUUAAAUCACUGAGAACUAGAAAGAAAUACUAUCGCAAACUGUAAGAGACAUUACAUCCAUAAAAAAUUUUCCCAGUCCUCAUAUUGUAAUAUUGCACAGUGCAAUUGCUACAUGGCGAACUAGUGUAGCAUAGAAAUCCAAAGCAAAAAAAAAAAAGCCACAAGUCUACAAAUUGUUAAACAGUAACAGUUCAACCUUAUUAAUCAAGUCUCUAUCACUGGGUGUUUCUAGAACAAGUCUUCCUACAGCUUGCAGUGUGAUUUAACUUUUACUUAACACAAACCAAGUUAAUUAGCAGUAAAAACAGAAAAUUUAAAAAUUAAACCCCCCCCAAAAAAGUUAAUACAGUAGCAUAUUUGACCAAUAAAACACCCUGAAGUAAAGUUAAAAACCGAACACAAGAAAUUCAUAUAAAAUCUUGCAAAUUAAAGUAAUAUGCAGAUAUGCAAUUCCGUAGUCAUGCAGUGUUUUAUUUAAAAAAGGCAUUUAAACGGCAUAAUGUAUAAAUGCUUCUCAGAGGAUGACUUUUUUCACAGAAAAGGUCCUCGCCCUGAAAACUUUUUUUUUUUUUUCUGCAGAUGGGCCCUGGACACUUGCAGUGACAAGAGUCCGUUCUCUCAGAGUGUAUUGCAGGAGGGGGGAAAAGUUACCUGGUAUAUUGAAUUUAAGCUGUGGCAGGAUCCCAAAUAUUUCGUUCUUGGAAAUGCAGACGUUUCUAACGUUACAAUACAUAGAAAGAGCAGCAGAUCUAAUUUGGGGCGCAUUUACAGCAACUUCUUCCUGCACACGACAGGAUACCGUUGUGAUAUACAGAUAAUCGUGUCAAUUGAACAAGCACAUCAGCUUAAAACCUUAAGCACAGUAAAAAGAAAGUACAGUAAAUACAUCAGACCAAUGAUGAUCCCCAUGGCCCCAGAAAAAAAAAAAAAAGCAGUAUUUUUUAUUAUUUUUUUUUUUUUUGUCAUCGCGAUACAAAACUCACGUUCUCCGUUUGCAUUGGUGGUUCUUGGUGUGUCCAUUGCCUGCAAUGGAGGGAGCACCAAAAAAAAAAUGUCGCUUCCCGACACAAGGGAGGGAACAGAAAACUAUCUGCUGGACCACACAGCACAAGUUUGAAGUGGUAAGGUGGACGUCCAAUUUGAGCAUUGUCUUGGCUCCCUAUAUUUAUGCUUUACAUACGCGUUGAUAAGAUUUCAAAUUCAUCAGGAUACUCCCUAGUUUCUAAUGUAUACUUUAUAUACACACACUCGUACAAAAUGCAUAGAGUUGAUCACUAAAAACACUGAAACUUGUGGGAAAAGUUAGGUUUCUUAAUUUUCAGUGUGAUUAAAAAUGUACUGCUGGUAUUUUCUUUUUUUCUUUGUGAUCUAAUACUGUUGUAUUUUAGUUAUUACUUAAAAAAUAAAUCAAAUGUAGGCACAUUUAUUUCAUUCAGACAUUCAUUAAAUAAAACACUGCUUGUGUUAGUGGAGUAAAGAAAAAGAUUACCAGUUAUUAGCUUAUUGUCAGAGUUAAACUCAAAUGCUUUGCACUCUCAUUCCAGUCAACAUUGCAAGGAUUGUAUUCCAGAUUUUGUUUUAAAAAAAGUUAAGUCAAGCCUGCAAGAUGCAGCUUCUUAAGUGUCUACACAAUGCCAAUAUGAAAA
Molecule: long non-coding RNA, 4352 nt
Organism: Pipra filicauda (Wire-tailed manakin)
Lineage: Eukaryota; Metazoa; Chordata; Aves; Passeriformes; Pipridae
Exons: 2
Source: RefSeq, a predicted model, not a curated record